This 455-nucleotide ribosomal RNA is filed under the name uncultured bacterium. RNAcentral's name for it is "bacterial SSU rRNA". It matches the Rfam family "Bacterial small subunit ribosomal RNA", at positions 923 to 1379 of the family's 1533-position model. The record is from RNAcentral.
GCACAAGCGGUGGAGCAUGUGGUUCAAUUCGACGCAACGCGAAGAACCUUACCUGGGCUCGAAGCGCAGUGGAAUCCGGUGGAAACAUCGGCGCCCGCAAGGGCCGCUGCGGAGGUGCUGCAUGGCUGUCGUCAGCUCGUGUCGUGAGAUGUUGGGUUAAGUCCCGCAACGAGCGCAACCCUUAUCCCUAGUUGCCAUCGGGUCAAGCCGGGCACUCUAGUGAAACCGCCCCGGAUAACGGGGAGGAAGGUGGGGAUGACGUCAAGUCCUCAUGGCCUUUAUGUCCAGGGCUACACACGUGCUACAAUGGUCGGUACAAACCGUCGCAAACCUGUGAAGGGGAGCUAAUCGGAAAAAGCCGGCCUCAGUUCGGAUUGGAGUCUGCAACUCGACUCCAUGAAGCUGGAUCGCUAGUAAUCGCAGAUCAGCACGCUGCGGUGAAUACGUUCCCGGGC